AGCUCAAGGAUUUUGUUAAACAAUCUAGGCGCUUCAAAACACUAAGCUGUUGGGUCAGCCUUAUGGUCAAUUAUCUUCAUUUGCGGUGUUAAACAUUUUGCAAGAUAAGGCAAAACUUUACAUUACAGUGCCCUUAUUACUGUGUAAUUACUGCUGUAAGUACAGUGUAACAAGUAUCGUAAUACUUACAGCAGUAAACCUAAACCUAGCCCUAACACUGAUGAUAACCUUUACCCUAAGCCUAAAUACAGGGUCAGUACAGUGUAACAAUGAGUAAUUACAAUAGGCUACUUGUUACACUGUAUUUACACAGUAAUAAGAGCACUGUAAUGUAGAUUAUUUUCUGAAAAGUUAUUAACACCCUAUCUAGUUUUAGAUCCCUUCUUCUCCAAUCCCAUGGUAGGACCCCUGAUAACAAUCACAACAAAUUAUUAAAGGUAAGCAGUGUUGAUUAUGGUUAGCGUCUUGAAUGAGAAAUCUUCAACAAGGCCGCUGUAGAUUGCUCAAUUUACCAUUACGCUGUGCUACCAUGUCUAACUUUUUCUUAAAAUUUUUCUUAAAAUUGAUACUUGAAGACCGCACCUGUUUCUAAAGUACAAAAUCAACGUAUUUUCCCCGCUUUUUAUAUCUCGUCCCAAACCUUAAACCUCAGAGCAACAGGGUUGAACACUUUUUGCAGAUACAAAGAAAAAUGUCAUUGAUGUUCUACAUGAGGUACGUUGAAAUAUGACUUUGACACAGUGUCCAUUCCAUGUGUUUUUAUCCAGGUGGGUCAACAUUCAACUCUCUUUAAAUAUGUGUAAGCAGGCACUAUGUCUACCUACAGGUGUUAUUACCACAUCUGCCAAUUACUCAUUCAAAUCUAUAUUGGAAUAAUUUCCAACAUCCUAUAUAUCAAGCAGGAUUUUCACUUUGAGAUUGAUCACAGGGAAACCACCCCAAAGUGGUUAUUGUGAAAUAAGAUUAGGGUUUAUCAGAUUCCUCUUUAGGUUCUGUUUCUGGGUGAGCUGAUCUGACAGAGUUAGCAAGGCUAAAGAGUGUGACCCGCUCUUAGCUUUGCUACACUCACAUUCUAUGUAUCUCUCUGAAAGUCCAGGGAUAGUACAUUUCACUACUGUGGCUAGUAAUAAUUGGGUUCUCAUGAGGAAUUUAUGAGAAAAUUCACUGUCCAAGUUUUCAGCACCAACUCUCUAAGUGGAGUGUGGCGUGUGGAGUGUGACCCUGGGUGUUUACUGUAGUCACAAUGUUUACUGACAGUCAAUUACAAAAUCACCAAUGGAACGUUGCACCUUCUUUGCUACACAGUAAGAGCUUUAGUGCCAUCAGGUGGAUACAUGUUUUUACUGCAUUAAGUGUAAUCGCUUAAAACAACCUCAGAUAGGUCAAAAAUAUGAGGACUGAUAAUGUAUCCAAUUAUUAUUACAUAUUUUUUGUUCAUAACUGGAAGUACACGCCCCGUAAUAUAAUAUUAAAGAUGCAUAGCAGUUGUGUUUACAGUCUGGGUUGAGCUGCAGUGUCGGCAGCACAGAGAAAGGAUCAGACAUUACUAAAAAUAGUAAUUUUAGCUAAGAUGCCUAACUUAUCUAUUAGCAUGCCAAUAGAACGAACUCAACAACAACUGAACAAAGUUGACUUGCACUACCUGGCUAGCUAGCAUUAGCCGGCUAACGUUACUGCCAAAGAUCUUUAUAACUAAACCUCAUUGUUCUAUCUGUGUUAGUGCUGACUAGCUAGCAGGCUUGCUAGCUACAGUAGCUAGCCCUACCUGGCUAUGGCUAUAGUCAUGCUAGCUAGUGGAAGUAAGUUACUCCCUCAUGCUAGGUAGUUGUAGCUAGCUAGUGGAAAUAAGUUAACGUUAGUCCCUCAACCUGCUGCUACAAGAUGAAGCGGCCCGGCCAAAGCGAGGUAGCUGCUGCAGAAAGAAUGUGCCCGCAGGAGAAGGACACACUAUGACAUCUGAGCAGAUCUUCAUCCAGUUACAUCAGCCAAUACAUCCAGUCACUCAGCCCUAUCCAGAAGCUCUCAAGGUCCUAUACUACUUCCUUCUACAACACCCUGAUGAGAAGCAAAAAGUAUGGCCCAAUGACUGGCCCCACAGGCCAGGGUUGCCAGGCCUGUGGGAGAGAGUGGGCACAGAACUCAUCAGUGCCUAAAGUGCCAGGGAGAAGGUCCACCAGAAACUCAGCGCGUGGUCGGUCUGGGGGCAGCCCUGGCAGUGAUGAAGGAUCUUCUACCUUUAAAUUUUUCUAAACCAUUUUUUCCAGUGUUAAUGUUUCUGAAAGUUAAUCACACAAUAGGCUACAGUUCUACAGCUACAGUAGAAAACAACAUUUGUUUGGCAGUAGUCAAUAUGUUCCAUUAUAGGCCAUAACAAGAUGCAUUGUCACAGCUCAGUGAUAUCACUUGCAGAUGUGUGUAGAUCGACCAGUGCCCUGUUUGUUGUUUUCAUUGAGUUUAGAAACAAAAUGACAUACGUCAUUCAGUUGUGGCUUGUUAGCUCUGACAA
Long non-coding RNA from Coregonus clupeaformis (lake whitefish), 2506 nucleotides. RefSeq lists it as uncharacterized. The transcript has 3 exons. NCBI's taxonomy places the organism in Eukaryota, Metazoa, Chordata, Actinopteri, Salmoniformes, Salmonidae. The record is from RefSeq and is a predicted model, not a curated record.